This 254-nucleotide ribosomal RNA is filed under the name uncultured bacterium. RNAcentral's name for it is "partial 16S ribosomal RNA". It matches the Rfam family "Bacterial small subunit ribosomal RNA", at positions 524 to 776 of the family's 1533-position model. The record is from RNAcentral.
UACAGAGGUCUCAAGCGUUGUUCGGAUUCAUUGGGCGUAAAGGGUGCGUAGGUGGCGUGGUAAGUCGGGUGUGAAAUUUCGGAGCUUAACUCCGAAACUGCAUUCGAUACUGCUGUGCUUGAGGACUGGAGAGGAGACUGGAAUUUACGGUGUAGCAGUGAAAUGCGUAGAGAUCGUAAGGAAGACCAGUGGCGAAGGCGGGAUCUCUGGACAGUUCCUGACACUGAGGCACGAAGGCCAGGGGAGCAAACGGG